CAGAAUAAUCCUUAUAGUUGGAGUUUUCAUUUACAUUGAAUUUUUUGUUGUGCAAUUCAAUAUUUUCUGA
This 70-nucleotide transfer RNA is filed under the name Rugitermes flavicinctus. Its description in RNAcentral is "tRNA-Val". Lineage: Eukaryota; Metazoa; Arthropoda; Insecta; Blattodea; Kalotermitidae. The record is from RNAcentral.